ACGGCGGUGCGCCGGGUGGCGCGCGGCGGUUCGGCCAUCGACCCGUCGAUCGUGUCGACGCUGCUGUC
Molecule: transfer RNA, 68 nt
Filed under: Virgisporangium aurantiacum
Lineage: Bacteria; Bacillati; Actinomycetota; Actinomycetes; Micromonosporales; Micromonosporaceae
Description: tRNA-Arg
Source: RNAcentral